AACAAAGACAAGAGCGACGCGGCCCAUAAUGAGGUUUUAGUGUCUCCUUGCCCUGGAGAAGACCCAGAGUGGAGAGUGUGGCAUGGAGGCCUUUAGCUCUGCCAGUGUAAUACCCCUCCCAAGACAGUGGAGCAGGGGUGAGAAGAGACGAGCUUCUGGAAAAGAGGGACUCAUUUCCUGAGUGGAUGCAAGGAGCAAAGCUGUACAGAUUCAACAACAUUGAGAAACACUUUGAAAUUAACACGCAUUCGUUCCAUCAGCAGUGCUGCUUCUUUUGAUCCUACUGGUUUGAUUCGGUUUCUGAGGCACUGUGUGUAUUUGGAAUAGAAGUGAUAGCCAGACUGAUUUGACAGAAGUGGGUAAAACCCUCCAGCAAAAAAGGGGGCUGCCUGCGGGCACAGAAGCUGUUGGAUAAAGAGGACAUCAAAAUAAAGCUUGAACUUGCUGAGCUUAAGGAAUCAGAAAUAAAACUGACAGUAAUGAGACCUAAGGAGAAGAAAAACACACCUGAAAAACAUAGAUGGGAAUGUGCAUGUGCUGGGGGACAUGAUCAGGUCCCCUCCAUCUUCCUGUCCUCUGAGAGCACUGCCUCGUCAAAAAUUAAAUGGAUCAAAUGUGCUCGGAAGUUUUUUAGUGUACCAAGCAGUGCUUCGGCUCAUUUUGUGUGCAAUUUGUGUGCAGCACAGUGUCUUCCUAUUCCUCGGUGCAAUGUCAUGCCCCCAUGCUGGCUCUCAAGGAAGUAGUCUGACAGGGUCUACCUCAUGUAGCAAAUGAAGCAGUAUGUUACCUAGGAAAAGAUUCAUUUGGACUGCUUAUUUUUGCUGGGUCACAGUCCAGAGUAGCCAACAAGACAUUCGCCAAGGACGGGACACAAUGUGCUCUGCCUGUUAUGUUAAUGCUUUCAUGUUCCCAUACUGAAAAUAUUUUGCUUUCAUUACACUGAAGUAGUUCUACCUUGCCAUUGCCCUUGUAGAGAAAUAAAGCAUUUUCCACUGAUAGUAAGGA
Tyto alba (common barn owl) is the source of this 1005-nucleotide long non-coding RNA. RefSeq lists it as uncharacterized. NCBI's taxonomy places the organism in Eukaryota, Metazoa, Chordata, Aves, Strigiformes, Tytonidae. The transcript has 3 exons. The record is from RefSeq and is a predicted model, not a curated record.